Molecule: ribosomal RNA, 436 nt
Filed under: uncultured bacterium
Lineage: Bacteria
Description: partial 16S ribosomal RNA
Rfam family: Bacterial small subunit ribosomal RNA
Source: RNAcentral
AACGAACGCUGGCGGCAUGCCUAACACAUGCAAGUCGAACGAGAUCCUUCGGGGUCUAGUGGCGCACGGGUGCGUAACGCGUGGGAAUCUGCCCUUAGGUUCGGAAUAACAGUUAGAAAUGACUGCUAAUACCGGAUGAUGACGUUAAGUCCAGAGAUUUAUCGCCUGAGGAUGAGCCCGCGUAGGAUUAGCUAGUUGGUGUGGUAAAGGCGCACCAAGGCGACGAUCCUUAGCUGGUCUGAGAGGAUGAUCAGCCACACUGGGACUGAGACACGGCCCAGACUCCUACGGGAGGCAGCAGUGGGGAAUAUUGGACAAUGGGCGCAAGCCUGAUCCAGCAAUGCCGCGUGAGUGAUGAAGGCCUUAGGGUUGUAAAGCUCUUUUACCCGGGAUGAUAAUGACAGUACCGGGAGAAUAAGCCCCGGCUAACUCCGUG